RNAcentral lists this ribosomal RNA (253 nucleotides) under uncultured bacterium. RNAcentral's name for it is "partial 16S ribosomal RNA". It matches the Rfam family "Bacterial small subunit ribosomal RNA", at positions 524 to 776 of the family's 1533-position model. The record is from RNAcentral.
UACGUAGGGUGCGAGCGUUGUCCGGAAUUACUGGGCGUAAAGAGCUCGUAGGUGGUUUGUCGCGUUGUCCGUGAAAACUCACAACUCAAUUGUGGGCGUGCGGGCGAUACGGGCAGACUGGAGUACUGCAGGGGAGACUGGAAUUCCUGGUGUAGCGGUGGAAUGCGCAGAUAUCAGGAGGAACACCGGUGGCGAAGGCGGGUCUCCAGGCAGUAACUGACGCUGAGGAGCGAAAGCGUGGGGAGCGAACAGG